UUUAUCCCCCCGGGGAAAAUAGCAUAUCAAUAAGCGGAGGAAAAGAAACCAACAGGGAUUGCCCUAGUAACGGCGAGUGAAGCGGCAACAGCUCAAAUUUGAAAUCUGGCUCUUUUAGAGUCCGAGUUGUAAUUUGCAGAGGGCGCUUUGGCUUUGGCAGCGGUCCAAGUUCCUUGGAACAGGACGUCACAGAGGGUGAGAAUCCCGUACGUGGUCGCUGGCUAUUGCCGUGUAAAGCCCCUUCGACGAGUCGAGUUGUUUGGGAAUGCAGCUCUAAAUGGGAGGUACAUUUCUUCUAAAGCUAAAUAUUGGCCAGAGACCGAUAGCGCACAAGUAGAGUGAUCGAAAGAUGAAAAGCACUUUGGAAAGAGAGUCAAACAGCACGUGAAAUUGUUGAAAGGGAAGCGCUUGCAGCCAGACUUGCUUACAGUUGCUCAUCCGGGUUUUUACCCGGUGCACUCUUCUGUAGGCAGGCCAGCAUCAGUUUGGGCGGUAGGAUAAAGGUCUCUGUCACGUACCUCCUUUCGGGGAGGCCUUAUAGGGGAGACGACAUACUACCAGCCUGGACUGAGGUCCGCGCAUCUGCUAGGAUGCUGGCGUAAUGGCUGUAAGCGGCCCGUCUUGAAACACGGACCAAGGAGUCUAACAUCUAUGCGAGUGUUUGGGUGUCAAGCCCGAGCGCGUAAUGAAAGUGAACGGAGGUGGGAACCCGCAAGGGUGCACCAUCGACCGAUCCUGAUGUCUUCGGAAGGAUUUGAGUAAGAGCAUGGCUGUUGGGACCCGAAAGAUGGUGAACUAUGCUUGAAUAGGGUGAAGCCAGAGAAACUCUGGGAGCCCCC
This 839-nucleotide ribosomal RNA is filed under the name Alternaria alstroemeriae. Its description in RNAcentral is "partial large subunit ribosomal RNA". It matches the Rfam family "Eukaryotic large subunit ribosomal RNA", at positions 24 to 878 of the family's 3401-position model. The record is from RNAcentral. Lineage: Eukaryota; Fungi; Ascomycota; Dothideomycetes; Pleosporales; Pleosporaceae.